AUUGAACGCUGGCGGCAGGCCUAACACAUGCAAGUCGAGCGGCAGCGGGAAAGUAGCUUGCUACCUUUGCCGGCGAGCGGCGGACGGGUGAGUAAUGCCUGGGAAAUUGCCCAGUCGAGGGGGAUAACAGUUGGAAACGACUGCUAAUACCGCAUACGCCCUACGGGGAAAGCAGGGGACCUUCGGGCCUUGCGCGAUUGGAUAUGCCCAGGUGGGAUUAGCUUGUUGGUGAGGUAAUGGCUCACCAAGGCGACGAUCCCUAGCUGGUCUGAGAGGAUGAUCAGCCACACUGGAACUGAGACACGGUCCAGACUCCUACGGGAGGCAGCAGUGGGGAAUAUUGCACAAUGGGGGAAACCCUGAUGCAGCCAUGCCGCGUGUGUGAAGAAGGCCUCGGUUGUAAGCACUUUCUAGCGAGGAGGAAAGGUUAGAGUACCUAAUACGUAGUCAGCUGUGACGUUACUCG
This 466-nucleotide ribosomal RNA is filed under the name uncultured bacterium. RNAcentral's name for it is "bacterial SSU rRNA". It matches the Rfam family "Bacterial small subunit ribosomal RNA", at positions 30 to 481 of the family's 1533-position model. The record is from RNAcentral.